Molecule: long non-coding RNA, 615 nt
Filed under: Cricetulus griseus (Chinese hamster)
Lineage: Eukaryota; Metazoa; Chordata; Mammalia; Rodentia; Cricetidae
Description: lncRNA (ENSCGRG00015036367.1)
Source: RNAcentral
CUGUGAUCCGCACUUCACCUGGAUGUCUGCCAGCUAUUAUGGUCUCCUAAGAUGGCAGACAUCAAAAGAUGCCACCUUCAUUUAGACUGGGCCUUCCCACUUCAUCUAACCUAAUCAAGAAAAUUUCUUCAAGUAACUGAUGAAGAAAAUGUCUGACAGCUUACCUCUUGGUUGUUUACAGAUCCAGGACCACUUGCCCUAGGAUGUCACCAUUAACCAAGAAAAUGCACGACAGACUUGCCAAUCUAAUGAGGAGAAUUUCUCAAUUGAAGCUCCUUCCCUGAUGACACAAGUGCAGAUUGACUUCAAGGCUCUUGGAAGAUUGGAAAAGGACAAAAAGACCCAGUAACAUGUUUGGACUUGAAAAUCAGAACAAGCAGGCAAUCUGUAGAGCUAUCUUGGAAAUAAGCUAUGAAAAGAUAACAUCCCCACCUUGUGAUCUUGGCAGAACCCUUCCUACACUGCUGAGUGGUAGUGGUGCAUGUCUUUAAUCUCAUCACUUGGGAAGCAGAGGCGGGAAGAACUCUGUGAGUUCGAGAACAUCCUGGUCUGCAGAGCAAGUUCCAAGACAGGCUCCAAAGCUACACAAAGAAACUCUGUCUCUAAAAACCAAAC